Ictalurus punctatus (channel catfish) is the source of this 306-nucleotide long non-coding RNA. The record is from Ensembl. Lineage: Eukaryota; Metazoa; Chordata; Actinopteri; Siluriformes; Ictaluridae.
UAUGUAUGUAUGUAUGUAUGUAGCGUAUGUAUGUAUGUAUGUAGCACAUGUAUGUAUGUAUGUAUGUAUGUAUGUAUCACAUGUAUGUAUGUAUGUAUGUAUGUAUGUAUGUAGCACAUGUAUGUAUGUAUGUAUGUAUGUAUGUAUGUAUGUAUGUAUGUAGCACAUGUAUGUAUGUAUGUAUGUAUGUAUGUAUGUAUGUAGCACAUGUAUGUAUGUAUGUAGCACAUGUAUGUAUGUAUGUAUGUAUGUAUGUAUGUAGCACAUGUAUGUAUGUAUGUAUGUAUGUAUGUCUGUAUGUAUGUA